GGCUACAGGACGAACGCUGGCGGCAUGCCUAACACAUGCAAGUCGAACGGGGGUAGCAAUACCCUAGUGGCGAACGGGUGAGUAACACAUAAGCAAUCUGCCCUUCACAGGGGGAUAACAGCGGGAAACUGCUGCUAAUACCGCAUAAGACCACAGUACCGCAUGGUACAGGGGUAAAAACGAAUCAGUGGUGAAGGAUGAGCUUAUGUCCCAUUAGCUAGUUGGUGAGAUAACAGCCCACCAAGGCGACGAUGGGUAGCCGACCUGAGAGGGUGAUCGGCCACACUGGAACUGAGACACGGUCCAGACUCCUACGGGAGGCAGCAGUGGGGAAUAUUGGGCAAUGGAGGAAAAACCUCUUACCCAGCAAUGCCGCGUGAGUGAAGAAGGUCUUCGGAUUGUAAAGCUCUUUGAUUGGGGACGAAGAAAGUGACGGUACCCAAAGAACAAGCCCCGGCUAACUACGUGCCAGCAGCCGC
RNAcentral lists this ribosomal RNA (479 nucleotides) under uncultured bacterium. RNAcentral's name for it is "bacterial SSU rRNA". It matches the Rfam family "Bacterial small subunit ribosomal RNA", at positions 26 to 518 of the family's 1533-position model. The record is from RNAcentral.